AACGAACGCUGGCGGCGUGGAUAAGACAUGCAAGUCGAGCGCUCAUUCGGUUGCAGCAAUGUAGCCGAGUGGGAGCGGCGCAAGGGUGCGUAACACGUGGGUAAUUUGCCAAAAAGUUUGGGAUAACUCGCUGAAAGGCGAGCUAAUACCGGAUGUGAUCAUCGGGCGGCAUCGUUUGAUGAUUAAAGUUGGGGACCGUAAGGCCUGACGCUUUUUGAUAAGCCCGCGGCCUAUCAGCUAGUUGGUGAGGUAACGGCUCACCAAGGCUAAGACGGGUAGCUGGUCUGAGAGGACGACCAGCCACACUGGAACUGAGACACGGUCCAGACACCUACGGGUGGCAGCAGUCGAGAAUUUUUCACAAUGGGCGAAAGCCUGAUGGAGCGACGCCGCGUGGGGGAUGAAUGGCUUCGGCCCGUAAACCCCUGUCAUUUGCGAACAAACCUUGCUAUUUAAAAGAUGGCGAGCUGAUUGUAGCGAAAGAGGAAGGGACGGCUAACUCUGUGC
RNAcentral lists this ribosomal RNA (507 nucleotides) under uncultured bacterium. Its description in RNAcentral is "bacterial SSU rRNA". It matches the Rfam family "Bacterial small subunit ribosomal RNA", at positions 29 to 508 of the family's 1533-position model. The record is from RNAcentral.